This 2655-nucleotide long non-coding RNA is filed under the name Equus caballus (horse). Its description in RNAcentral is "lncRNA (ENSECAG00000035754.3)". Lineage: Eukaryota; Metazoa; Chordata; Mammalia; Perissodactyla; Equidae. The record is from RNAcentral.
CUUGGCGUGGGAGUGAGUGGGGCUGGCUCACAGCUGAGGGCAUGGAGCAAAUGUGACUGGAAGCAGGGUUGCGCGCCGUGGGAGGGCAGGGCAGGGAGCAAGGGGACGUCGGAAAUGCCCCCUCCGGGUCCAGCCAUCCAAAGAGACGGAUCAGCAACAGAGAACCUGUAAGACUGAGCAAGCAAGUUUGGGAGGCAGACUGGAAAGAUUGCCAGCAUCUGGGGAGACUUAAGUAAUGGGAGCUUUUCAGAGGAUGUCCAGGGCAAAGGAUGUUGGUGGGGCAGAGCUGCAGAGGGUGCCAAGCACAUUCCUGCCAUCCGUGAGACAGAGCUAACAAAUGUCUCUCUUCCACAGAUCUUGCGAAGACCAAAGCAGUCCAGCAGCUCAGAAGAAAUCAUUGAAGAAAGUUGCAGGUACAAGCCCUUAGAAGCAAAGCACCCAGAAGCUGGGGGAUGGAUGCUCAGGACUGCUUCAGCCCCUCCCAAUCACGGAGUGGAUUUCAGCCUUCUCCACAGAGUGCCUCUACCCAUCCACUCUUCUGACCUGCCCACCACUCUCCUCCUCGCCUCCCAAGGACACUAAGGUUCAAAAGAAGUCAGCAAAUUGCCCACUAUUAUACAGCUGAAGGUGGCAGGACGAGGGCUUGAUCCCAAUACGAAAUCACAAAAAUUUCAUUAGUGGAAAAAUCACUUCAGAUAUGCCUUGAGUCUUCUUUCAUUUUCCUGGAAGUGAAUCCAGAAUGGAGCUAUAAAAUCACUUUUGAAUACAGUCCUGGUAGAAACUUGUGGUUUAUAGCAUGAAACCAUUUGAAUUAACUUCUUAGAGAUUGAAGAUGAUAAUAUCAUCCAAGAAAAUCAUAGGCAUUAGAGUGUUUGUUGCACAGCAGUUACUGGAGAGAAAGAUGUUCUUUAUUUUGUUUUCAACUUCACAUCUCAGCAGCUUUGCAGAGUGCCUGGUACCUAAACUUGGACUUUCAUCUGUCAAACAAUGAACACACAAUUUAAGCUAUUUUUUAUGGUGACCUGCCUGCUUGCAGUUACAAGUUGAGUUUUAUAAAAACGAAUGGAAAGAGUGAAAAAUGAAAAUGUUAAUACUAGUGAUAAAAAGUGUAGGUCUUCUAAAAUUAGGUACAAUUGAAGCAAAAGUGAAAUAUUCAGAUGUGCCAAAAAGCUCAAACCAACCUCAACCAACUACUCAUUGUCUAUACUCAAUGUGUUCAACUGUGAAUGAAGCAAACAAGAUUAAACACAUAAAGGAAAUGUUGGGAAAAUGGCAUUAAAGAUUGUAUCUAAAAGGCAAGGCGUCCCCAAAUUUUAUGAGGUCCCAUACUCUACACAGAGCAAGUCAAACAGGUAACAGGGUAACUACUAAGCCUCCACUUCUCUUGAUGAUAUGAUGUUUCAUGUUACCUCUGGCAUCUUGGACAAGCCACUGAUGGCCUUGAUGUUACCGAUAAAAGGAACCAGGAAGAUCACACUUGCCUAAAAGCAGGAGCUUAGUUUAUCCCCAGUGGAUUCCUUGAUUGUAUGUCUUGAGGAUUUUCUUCAGAGUUGACUGCUGUGACUGACACUUUCUUUUUCCAUGAAACAGCACAAUAAAUUGAUGAGUCUGGCGAUGAUAAAUAGAAGUGUCCCAUCUGCUGUUGUCUACCAUUUUUAUUUUACAUUCCAUCGUCAACAAAAUGCUGUAACAGCAGUGCCAACUGGAAAGAGUGACUCUUGAAAAAUUUUCCUUCUUUGCAUUUCCACUCAAUAAUGCAUUUUAAAUCUGUAUCCUUUACUUGCUUUUCUUGGGCUCAUCAAGUUUAGGCAUAAGCUUUUUAUCAACUCUGAUUUGGGUUACUGUUGACUUGAAAUACAUCAGAAGGAGGAUCACUGAGCCAUGGCUAUACCGAUGGUUGGAUGUCAGGAGCAGAUGACCUCUGCGGUUGACCAUGGAAAGCAAAACUGCAGGUAAGGGGGACGGCUGUACUAUGACACAUCCCUUCUGCCUCACAUCCUCCUUUGUCUCAGUCACCAGAAGCAAUAGUCUUCUCAGCUAAUCCACAUUGUGUAGACCCUUAUCCCCAUCCUAUCAUGUUCAUGGUCUAGUCCAAUAGCCCCAAACGAUUUUCCAUGAUCACUUCCCUAAGGAGUCUUUGUAGAUGUUUUUCGUAACUGCCCUCCUCAUCUCCCCCACUCAUGAAAUUUUAAUGCCACAGAUAUACUAAAUAUCUGUUAGUGUACUAUCUGUAUGUGGUAUAUAUGUGCUUUAGACAUAAAGAAAGUAAGAGUUUUUUCACCUUCCAGGAACCAAUUUUUGUCUCCUUGGGAACAAUAUCACCUCUGUUGAAAAUGUAUCAUCUAGUCUGACUCUAUCUUCCCUCUCCUCCAGCUUCCCAAACCUUUUCUCUGUAUGAAUAUUUUACUCUUCUAAAUCCAUUCUAUGCAUGCUUGGCAAUUGGAUUGUUUCAACUUUGGGUUAUGAAAAAGAUGUUUCUAUGUGCAUUUGUAUAUAUGUAUCCUGGUACUGAUGUAUGAGUUUCUCUCCAGUAUAUACACUAUGUAGAUAUAGGCAUGAGUGUAAUUGCAGGGUCGUGGGGUGUUUGUAUGCUAGAUUCUUCUAGAUAAUGUCAAACUCUUUUUCAAAGUGCUUGCACCAAUUUAUAUUCUCAUU